Molecule: ribosomal RNA, 400 nt
Filed under: phytoplankton environmental sample
Lineage: Eukaryota
Description: partial small subunit ribosomal RNA
Rfam family: Eukaryotic small subunit ribosomal RNA
Source: RNAcentral
AGCUCCAAUAGCGUAUAUUAAAGUUGUUGCAGUUAAAAAGCUCGUAGUUGGAUUUCGGGAUGGCCCGGCCGGUCUGCCGCAAGGUAUGUUACUGGCCGAGCUGUUCUUCCUCGCAAAGACUGUGUGUGCUCUUAACUGAGUGUGCUCAGGAUCUGCGACGUUUACUUUGAAAAAAUUAGAGUGUUCAAAGCAGGCGGCUCGCCUGAAUAAUGGUGCAUGGAAUAAUAGAAGAGGACCUUGGUUCUAUUUUGUUGGUUUCUGGAACUGGAGGUAAUGAUUGAGAGGGACUGCCGGGGGCAUUCGUAUUACGGUGUUAGAGGUGAAAUUCUUGGAUCGCCGUAAGACGAACGAGAGCGAAAGCAUUUGCCAAGAAUGUUUUCAUUAAUCAAGAACGAAAGUA